RNAcentral lists this ribosomal RNA (371 nucleotides) under uncultured organism. RNAcentral describes it as "partial 16S ribosomal RNA". It matches the Rfam family "Bacterial small subunit ribosomal RNA", at positions 527 to 896 of the family's 1533-position model. The record is from RNAcentral.
GUAGGUGGCAAGCGUUGUCCGGAAUUAUUGGGCGUAAAGCGCGCGCAGGCGGUUUUUUAAGUCUGAUGUGAAAGCCCACGGCUCAACCGUGGAGGGUCAUUGGAAACUGGAGAACUUGAGUGCAGAAGAGGAGAGCGGAAUUCCACGUGUAGCGGUGAAAUGCGUAGGGAUGUGGAGGAACACCAGUGGCGAAGGCGGCUCUCUGGUCUGUAACUGACGCUGAGGCGCGAAAGCGUGGGGAGCAAACAGGAUUAGAUACCCUGGUAGUCCACGCCGUAAACGAUGAGUGCUAAGUGUUAGAGGGUUUCCGCCCUUUAGUGCUGCAGCAAACGCAUUAAGCACUCCGCCCUGGGAGUACGGUCGCAAGACUG